CCUACGGGUGGCAGCAGUGGGGAAUAUUGCACAAUGGGGGAAACCCUGAUGCAGCGACGCCGCGUGAGUGAAGAAGUAAUUCGUUACGUAAAGCUCUAUCAGCAGGGAAGAAAUACUGACCUUACGGUCAGCAGACGGUACCUGAGUAAGAAGCCCCGGCUAACUACGUGCCAGCAGCCGCGGUAAUACGUAGGGGGCAAGCGUUAUCCGGAUUUAUUGGGGGUAAAGGGAGCGUAGACGGUGCGCCAAGUCUGGAGUGAAAUGCCGCAGCUUAACUGCGGAACUGCAUUGGAAACUGGCGAACUAGAGUGCGGGAGGGGUAGGCUGAAUUCGUGGUGUAGCGGUGAAAUGCGUAGAUAUUAGGAGGAACACCGGUGGCGAAGGCGGCUUACUGGACCGUAACUGACGUUGAGGCUCGAAAGCGUGGGGAGCAAACAGGAUUAGAUACCCGGGUAGUC
RNAcentral lists this ribosomal RNA (458 nucleotides) under uncultured bacterium. RNAcentral's name for it is "partial 16S ribosomal RNA". It matches the Rfam family "Bacterial small subunit ribosomal RNA", at positions 338 to 795 of the family's 1533-position model. The record is from RNAcentral.